GAACGCUGGCGGCGUGCCUAAUACAUGCAAGUCGAGCGAAUGGAUUAAGAGCUUGCUCUUAUGAAGUUAGCGGCGGACGGGUGAGUAACACGUGGGUAACCUGCCCAUAAGACUGGGAUAACUCCGGGAAACCGGGGCUAAUACCGGAUAACAUUUUGAACCGCAUGGUUCGAAAUUGAAAGGCGGCUUCGGCUGUCACUUAUGGAUGGACCCGCGUCGCAUUAGCUAGUUGGUGAGGUAACGGCUCACCAAGGCAACGAUGCGUAGCCGACCUGAGAGGGUGAUCGGCCACACUGGGACUGAAACACGGCCCAGACUCCUACGGGAGGCAGCAGUAGGGAAUCUUCCGCAAUGGACAAAAGUCUGACGGAGCAACGCCGCGUGAGUGAUGAAGGCUUUCGGGUCGUAAAACUCUGUUGUUAGGGAAAAACAAGUGCUAGUUGAAUAAGCUGGCACCUUGACGGUACCUAACCAAAAAGCCACGGCUAACUACGUGCCAGCAGCCGCGGUAAUACGUAGGUGGCAAGCGUUAUCCGGAAUUAUUGGGCGUAAAGCGCGCGCAGGUGGUUUCUUAAGUCUGAUGUGAAACCCCACGGCUCAACCGUGGAGGGUCAUUGGAAACUGGGAGACUUGAGUGCAAAAGAGGAAAGUGGAAUUCCAUGUGUAGCGGUGAAAUGCGUAGAGAUAUGGAGGAACACCAGUGGCGAAGGCGACUUUCUGGUCUGUAACUGACACUGAGGCGCGAAAGCGUGGGGAGCAAACAGGAUUAGAUACCCUGGUAGUCCACGCCGUAAACGAUGAGUGCUAAGUGUUAGAGGGUUUCCUUCCCUUUAGUGCUGAAGUAACGCAUUAACACUCCGCCUGGGGAGUGCAGCCGCGAGGCUAAUACUAAAAGGAAUAGACCGGGCCCCGCCCACCCGGUGGAGCAUGUAGUUUAAUUCAAACCACCCCGAAGAACCUUACCAGGUCUUGACAUCCUUUGAAAACCCUAGAGAUAGGGCUUCUCCUUCGGGAGCAGAGUGACAGGUGGUGCAUGGUUGUCGUCAGCUCGUGUCGUGAGAUGUUGGGUUAAGUCCCGCAACGAGCGCAACCCUUGAUCUUAGUUGCCAUCAUUAAGUUGGGCACUCUAAGGUGACUGCCGGUGACAAACCGGAGGAAGGUGGGGAUGACGUCAAAUCAUCAUGCCCCUUAUGACCUGGGCUACACACGUGCUACAAUGGACGGUACAAAGAGCUGCAAGACCGCGAGGUGGAGCUAAUCUCAUAAAACCGUUCUCAGUUCGGAUUGUAGGCUGCAACUCGCCUACAUGAAGCUGGAAUCGCUAGUAAUCGCGGAUCAGCAUGCCGCGGUGAAUACGUUCCCGGGCCUUGUACACACCGCCCGUCACACCACGAGAGUUUGUAACACCCGAAGUCGGUGGGGUAACCUUUUUGGAGCCAGCCGCCUAAGGUGGGACAGAUGAUUGGGGUUA
RNAcentral lists this ribosomal RNA (1471 nucleotides) under Bacillus sp. DST6. RNAcentral's name for it is "16S ribosomal RNA". It matches the Rfam family "Bacterial small subunit ribosomal RNA". The record is from RNAcentral. Lineage: Bacteria; Bacillati; Bacillota; Bacilli; Caryophanales; Bacillaceae.